Sphaeramia orbicularis (orbiculate cardinalfish) is the source of this 831-nucleotide long non-coding RNA. RefSeq lists it as uncharacterized. The transcript is spliced from 2 exons. NCBI's taxonomy places the organism in Eukaryota, Metazoa, Chordata, Actinopteri, Kurtiformes, Apogonidae. The record is from RefSeq and is a predicted model, not a curated record.
AGUGCUUUUGUAGACACUCAAAGAACUUUACAUUAUUGAUCCAUUCUUCAUUCACUCUCACAUUCUCCCUCUGGUGGAGGUAAACUACAUCUGUAGCCACAGCUGUCCUGGGGCAGACUGACAGACCCCCUCUGUGUUUCAUGUGGGGUACUUUGAACCCUCCUUAAUGCUUUUAGAUUCCUAAACCCAAGGCGUACCUCUGGGUCUGGUUCUGGGUCUGGGUCUGGGUCUGGUUCUGGUUCUCCCUGUUCUGGGCUGUCUCCUUUCAGUCCGUUUGUGUUCGUGGUGCUACUGUUCAUGUCAGGUCCACAGUGAAAGGCCCCGCCCUCUGCUGUUUAACAGGUCAGAUCCACAGUGAAAGGCCCCGCCCUCUGCUGUUUAACAGGUCAGGUCCACAGUGAAAGGCCCCGCCCUCUGCUGUUUAACAGGUCAGAUCCACAGUGAAAGGCCCCGCCCUCUGCUGUGGAACAGGUGUGGUUUGGACACCGAUGGCCCCGCCCUCUGAAAUGCCCACCUGGACCACUGUGUGUGUGUGUGUGCUUGUGUGUGUGUUUGUGUGUGGCCUUUCAGUAACUGUGUGUGUGUGUGUGUGUUCAUCAGAUGUUAAACUGUCCCACACCAGAGGAUAGUAGAGUAAACCCCGCCCCCACUUACCUCACUGUAACCAUGGUUACCCUGCACCCCACCCCACCACCUCCUCUGUGUUACCAUGGAAACCCCAGUUCCUCCCUGCUCUUCAUCAUCAUCAUCAUGUUGUUGUUUUUUAUUUUGUUCACUGUCAGAGUAGAAACUUCAACUUUUAUAAUAAAACGACCAACUGAGGGAAAAGCA